RNAcentral lists this ribosomal RNA (159 nucleotides) under uncultured bacterium. RNAcentral's name for it is "partial 16S ribosomal RNA". It matches the Rfam family "Bacterial small subunit ribosomal RNA", at positions 355 to 531 of the family's 1533-position model. The record is from RNAcentral.
UGGGGAAUAUUGCACAAUGGGGGAAACCCGUGAUGCAGCGACGCCGCGUGAAGGAAGAAGUAUCUCGGUAUGUAAACUUCUAUCAGCAGGGAAGAUAGUGACGGUACCUGACUAAGAAGCCCGGCUAACUACGUGCCAGCAGCCGCGUAAUCAUGCUGU